RNAcentral lists this non-coding RNA (263 nucleotides) under Methylophaga lonarensis MPL. Its description in RNAcentral is "Bacterial large subunit ribosomal RNA". It matches the Rfam family "Bacterial large subunit ribosomal RNA", at positions 2667 to 2925 of the family's 2925-position model. The record is from Rfam by way of RNAcentral. Lineage: Bacteria; Pseudomonadati; Pseudomonadota; Gammaproteobacteria; Thiotrichales; Piscirickettsiaceae.
AKSAGCUGCUCCUAGUACGAGAGGACCGGAGUGGACGUACCCCUGGUGUUCGGGUUGUGAUGCCAAUCGCAUUGCCCGGUAGCUAUGUACGGACGGGAUAACCGCUGAAAGCAUCUAAGCGGGAAGCCCCCCCUCAAGAUUAGAUUUCCCCGAGCUUUAAGCUCCUGAAGGGCCGUGGAAGACCACCACGUUGAUAGGCUGGGUGUGGAAGCGCAGUAAUGUGUGAAGCUAACCAGUACUAAUUGCCCGUGAGGCUUGACCAU